This 253-nucleotide ribosomal RNA is filed under the name uncultured bacterium. Its description in RNAcentral is "partial 16S ribosomal RNA". It matches the Rfam family "Bacterial small subunit ribosomal RNA", at positions 524 to 776 of the family's 1533-position model. The record is from RNAcentral.
UACGUAGGGUGCAAGCGUUGUCCGGAAUUAUUGGGCGUAAAGAGCUCGUAGGCGGUCUGUCGCGUCGGCUGUGAAAACUCGGGGCUUAACCCCGAGCCUGCUUCUGAUACGGGCAGACUAGAGGUAUGCAGGGGAGAACGGAAUUCCUGGUGUAGCGGUGAAAUGCGCAGAUAUCAGGAGGAACACCGGUGGCGAAGGCGGUUCUCUGGGCAUUACCUGACGCUGAGGAGCGAAAGUGUGGGGAGCGAACAGG